AACGAACGCUGGCGGCAUGCCUAACACAUGCAAGUCGAACGAGACCUUCGGGUCUAGUGGCGCACGGGUGCGUAACGCGUGGGAACCUGCCCUUAGGUUCGGAAUAACUCCCCGAAAGGGGUGCUAAUACCGGAUAAUGUCUUCGGACCAAAGAUUUAUCGCCUUUGGAUGGGCCCGCGUUGGCUUAGCUAGUUGGUAGGGUAAAAGCCUACCAAGGCGACGAUCCAUAGCUGGUCUGAGAGGAUGAUCAGCCACACUGGGACUGAGACACGGCCCAGACUCCUACGGGAGGCAGCAGUGGGGAAUAUUGGACAAUGGGGGAAAGCCUGAUCCAGCAAUGCCGGGUGAGUGAUGAAGGCCUUAGGGUUGUAAAGCUCUUUUACCCGGGAUGAUAAUGACAGUACCGGGAGAAUAAGCUCCGGCUAACUCCGUG
This 433-nucleotide ribosomal RNA is filed under the name uncultured bacterium. RNAcentral's name for it is "partial 16S ribosomal RNA". It matches the Rfam family "Bacterial small subunit ribosomal RNA", at positions 29 to 507 of the family's 1533-position model. The record is from RNAcentral.